ACCAGCACUUUGGGAGGUCGAGGAAUUUGGAAAAUUUUUUCUGCUCCUCACUGGUGUUGCUGGAAGUCGCUCCACAGCUGGCAGAUGAGCUGGCUGGGAAGAUACAAGGUGGCUGCACUCACUAUUGGGGGCCCUAGCUCGGAUGCCUGCCAGGCUGGGCUCAGCUGGGACUGCCUCCUACACGUGGCCUCUCCAGCAUGGUGACGUCACGGAAGCCUCAGACUCCUCACACAGAUGCUGGAUUCCCCGGAGGGAGUGUUUCCAGGGGUCC
RNAcentral lists this long non-coding RNA (271 nucleotides) under Homo sapiens (human). RNAcentral describes it as "HSALNT0269040". Lineage: Eukaryota; Metazoa; Chordata; Mammalia; Primates; Hominidae. The record is from RNAcentral.